CCUACGGGAGGCAGCAGUAGGGAAUUUUCCACAAUGGGCGAAAGCCUGAUGGAGCAACGCCGCGUGGGUGAAGAAGGUCUUCGGAUCGUAAAACCCUGUUGUUAGAGAAGAAAGUGCGUGAGAGUAACUGUUCACGUUUCGACGGUAUCUAACCACAACGCCACGGCUAACGACGUGCCCGCAGCCGCGGUGAUACGUAGGUGGCAAGCGUUAUCCGGAUUGAUUGGGCGUAAAGGGAACGCAGGCGGUCUUUUAAGGCUGAUGUGAAAGCCCUCGGCCUAACCGGAGUAGUGCAUUGGAAACUGGGAGACUUGAGUGCAGAAGAGGAGAGUGGAACUCCAUGUGUAGCGGUGAAAUGCGUAGAUAUAUGGAAGAACACCAGUGGCGAAGGCGGCUCUCUGGUCUGUAACUGACGCUGAGGUUCGAAAGCGUGGGUAGCAAACAGGAUUAGAUACCCGAGUAGUC
RNAcentral lists this ribosomal RNA (465 nucleotides) under uncultured bacterium. Its description in RNAcentral is "partial 16S ribosomal RNA". It matches the Rfam family "Bacterial small subunit ribosomal RNA", at positions 338 to 795 of the family's 1533-position model. The record is from RNAcentral.